UCAGGCGACGAGGGUCCUGCACGGGCCUGACCGGAUUCUUCUCAAGGCUCUGUUUCCCUUGUGAGAGCAGGACCCUAGUGACCCCUCAAGCGGACUGCGAGUCGCAGGUUUGGGGCCUCGUGUCACCCGCCUGGAGUGAGUCUGGGCACAGCCUGGAAGCCCUUGGUGGCUGGAGAGAUGCAGCUCUAGGAAAAAAUCUGGAUCCCUUUCUUGUCCUGGCUUUCUGAGGAGCCGUUCCAAAUUGGAGAGGGCUUUAGUCCAAUCAUCUGCAGGUUUUUUGGAGCAUUUUCUCCCAGGCCAUGGGGGGCUGAGGCCAUUUUCAGAAUGCCAGGGUCAUCUGGCAGCC
Lontra canadensis (Northern American river otter) is the source of this 346-nucleotide long non-coding RNA. RefSeq lists it as uncharacterized. Lineage: Eukaryota; Metazoa; Chordata; Mammalia; Carnivora; Mustelidae. The record is from RefSeq and is a predicted model, not a curated record. The transcript has 3 exons.